CCUACGGGAGGCAGCAGUGAGGAAUAUUGGACAAUGGGCGCAAGCCUGAUCCAGCCAUGCCGCGUGCAGGAUGACGGUCCUAUGGAUUGUAAACUGCUUUUAUACGGGAAGAAACCCUGGCUCGUGAGCCAGAUUGACGGUACCGUAAGAAUAAGGAUCGGCUAACUCCGUGCCAGCAGCCGCGGUAAUACGGAGGAUCCAAGCGUUAUCCGGAAUCAUUGGGUUUAAAGGGUCCGUAGGCGGUUUAAUAAGUCAGUGGUGAAAGCCCAUCGCUCAACGGUGGAACGGCCAUUGAUACUGUUAGACUUGAAUUAUUAGGAAGUAACUAGAAUAUGUAGUGUAGCGGUGAAAUGCUUAGAGAUUACAUGGAAUACCAAUUGCGAAGGCAGGUUACUACUAAUUGAUUAACGCUGAUGGACGAAAGCGUGGGUAGCGAACAGGAUUAGAUACCCUGGUAGUCCACGCCGUAAACGAUGGAUACUAGCUGUUGGGAGUAAUCUCAGUGGCUAAGCGAAAGUGAUAAGUAUCCACCUGGGGAGUACGUUCGCAAGAAUGAAACUCAAAUGAAAUUGACGG
RNAcentral lists this ribosomal RNA (576 nucleotides) under uncultured bacterium. Its description in RNAcentral is "bacterial SSU rRNA". It matches the Rfam family "Bacterial small subunit ribosomal RNA", at positions 338 to 916 of the family's 1533-position model. The record is from RNAcentral.